AAGGCUCUGUUCCUUGUAGAGUUCGAGCAAGGCGAGGAUUUGCUACAAAUCCCCGCAGUAUAUCUGAAAGAGUUCGGAGGACAAGGAUUAGUGACAGAAUGAGAAAGCUUCAAGAACUUGUACCUAAAAUGGACAAGAUUCAGUUUUACAAAAUAAUCUAAAGAAGCAAAUUUCAAAAUUUCUCCAGUUCUACCGUCACACUUGUUAUCCCAGUUUCUCAAGGAAAAAUCUCUCCAAAAUUUCACUUGCAUGCCAAAAGUCUGUGUCAAUCCACUACAGAUGUGCUUAAGUUGUAAAAUUGGCUAAUGAAGUCACCGGAUAAGAAGCAAACUAAUACAGUAGACAUGUUGGACGAAGCUGUAGAGUAUGUCAAAUUCCUACAGGAGCAGAUCCAGGUAUUUUCUAUUUGAAGAAAAAAAUCCAAUUGAACUGGAUAUAGGGAAAAAAUCAAGUCUAAGAAGUUUGACUGAAGUACUUUUUUGACUUAAAAAAACUAUUUGGAGGUCUUGUAUCUAGGCGUGAGCAAAGUAUGGGUUAAUCCAAUCCAAACUUUUAAAAUAGUUCGUGUUCAAUCCAAAUUAAGAAGUAUAGGUUAACCCUUAGUUUCAAAAGAGUUUGGAUUCCAUUCAAUCCAAAGUUUUGAAGAAAAAGAAAAGAAUGUAGUUUUUACUUGACUAUAACUGUGAGUUAAAUGUAUUAAACUUAGAUUAGUUAAACCUAACUAAACCUAUGGAAUCAAAAUUAAUUAGUACCUAAAUAUGGAUUGAACUGAGUUAGUAAAACAUAUUGUAUUCUGGAGACUGUCAAUGGUAGAGCACAAAAUUCAUGUCCUCAUAGUUGAGUUCGAGUUUUCACACUCGGACCAUUUACAAAAAAAAUAAAAAAUAUAUUGGAUUAAUUCAUACUAUGACUUUUAAAGGAUUUAUACAUAAUUCUAACGUUUUUCUGUAUGGAAAUUAAGAUGAGUCUGGUCUCUUAAACUUUGAGCUGCCAAAUUUGGGUGUGGUACAAGGAAAGAUUGAACAAAUGAGAUUCGUGAUAACACAGGAACUUACCGACCAUAAAAAGAAAUGCAGAUGUUCAAACAGAGAUUACUGGAAAAUCUAGCUAGCAGACUUGCAACAACUUUUGCUUUUUGUGUAUUGUGUAUUGUGUAAGUCAGGUUAGCUGCUUCCCUUUAGACAUGUAUAUAAAAUGAUUGGCAUAUGAGCUCUUCCAGUACUGUAGAAUGAAUAGUAUUAGAAUUGUUUGUUGCUAAUAUCCUAUCCAUUUCUUCUCUGAAGAAUGUUUUUUUUAAACAAGACAAGAGGAAAGGGUGGAAAAGAAGAAAUUUAGCUUAGAAGCUUGUAAGUGCUGUUGUAAUAUAUUGUAUUUUGCUAAUCACAAAGAAAAACUUCAUCUUGUAUCUUUUUUGUUUGGUUAGAAAGUAUUGUUCUGUCA
Molecule: RNA transcript, 1440 nt
Organism: Impatiens glandulifera
Lineage: Eukaryota; Viridiplantae; Streptophyta; Magnoliopsida; Ericales; Balsaminaceae
Gene name: transcription factor bHLH80
Exons: 4
Source: RefSeq, a predicted model, not a curated record